This 21-nucleotide non-coding RNA is filed under the name Caenorhabditis elegans. The record is from RNAcentral. Lineage: Eukaryota; Metazoa; Nematoda; Chromadorea; Rhabditida; Rhabditidae.
UGCUGUCGCUUGUAAUAAACG